GCUUAGAGAGGGGUCAAUGUCCUAUCAGCUAGUUGGUAAGGUAAUGGCUUACCAAGGCUAAGACGGGUAGCCGGCCUGAGAGGGUGGUCGGCCACACUGGGACUGAGACACUGCCCAGACUCCUACGGGAGGCUGCAGUCGGGAAUCUUUCGCAAUGCCCGAAAGGGUGACGAAGCGACGCCGCGUGUGGGAAGAAGGCCUUCGGGUUGUAAACCACUGUCGGGAGUUAAGAAAUGUAAGGGUGUUAAUAGCAUCCUUACUUGACUAAGGCUCCAGAGGAAGCCACGGCUAACUCUGUGCCAGCAGCCGCGGUAAUACAGAGGCGGCAAGCGUUGUUCGGAAUUAUUGGGCGUAAAGAGCACGUAGGCGGCUUUGUAAGUCAGUUGUGAAAGCCUUCCGCUUAACGGAAGAACAGCAUCUGAUACUGCAAGGCUAGAGUGCGGAAGGG
Molecule: ribosomal RNA, 448 nt
Filed under: uncultured Planctomycetota bacterium
Lineage: Bacteria; Pseudomonadati; Planctomycetota
Description: bacterial SSU rRNA
Rfam family: Bacterial small subunit ribosomal RNA
Source: RNAcentral